UACAGGGGGUGCAAACGUUGCUCGGAAUUAUUGGGCGUAAAGCGCACGUAGGCGGUCUGUUAUGUCGGAUGUGAAAGCCCUUGGCUCAACUGAGGAAGUGCAUCCGAAACUGGCAGGCUGGAGUACGUAAGAGGGUCGCGGAAUUCCAGGUGUAGCGGUGAAAUGCGUAGAUAUCUGGAGGAACACCGGUGGCGAAGGCGGCAUCCUGGACCAAUUCUGACGCUGAGGAGCGAAAGCCAGGGGAGCAAACGGG
This 253-nucleotide ribosomal RNA is filed under the name uncultured bacterium. RNAcentral describes it as "partial 16S ribosomal RNA". It matches the Rfam family "Bacterial small subunit ribosomal RNA", at positions 524 to 776 of the family's 1533-position model. The record is from RNAcentral.